AGAGUUUGAUCAUGGCUCAGGAUGAACGCUAGCGGCAGGCCUAAUACAUGCAAGUCGGACGGGAUCCAUCGGUAGCUUGCUAUCCAUGGUGAGAGUGGCGCACGGGUGCGUAACGCGUGAGCAACCUGCCUCCAUCAGGGGGAUAGCCUCUCGAAAGAGAGAUUAACACCGCAUAACAUAUCAGACCGGCAUCGGUCGGAUAUUAAAUAUUUAUAGGAUGGAGAUGGGCUCGCGUGACAUUAGCUUGUUGGUGGGGUAACGGCCCACCAAGGCGACGAUGUCUAGGGGCUCUGAGAGGAGAAUCCCCCACACUGGUACUGAGACACGGACCAGACUCCUACGGGAGGCAGCAGUAAGGAAUAUUGGCCAAUGGGCGGAAGCCUGAACCAGCCAUGCCGCGUGCAGGAUGACUGCCCUAUGGGUUGUAAACUGCUUUUGUCCGGGAAUAAACCUCCU
Molecule: ribosomal RNA, 456 nt
Filed under: Sphingobacterium sp. D-9-25-2
Lineage: Bacteria; Pseudomonadati; Bacteroidota; Sphingobacteriia; Sphingobacteriales; Sphingobacteriaceae
Description: bacterial SSU rRNA
Rfam family: Bacterial small subunit ribosomal RNA
Source: RNAcentral